GAUGAACGCUGGCGGCGUGCCUAAUACAUGCAAGUCGAGCGAACAGACGAGGAGCUUGCUCCUCUGACGUUAGCGGCGGACGGGUGAGUAACACGCGGAUAACCUACCUAUAAGACUGGGAUAACUUCGGGAAACCGGAGCUAAUACCGGAUAAUAUAUUGAACCGCAUGGUUCAAUAGUGAAAGACGGUUUUGCUGUCACUUAUAGAUGGAUCCGCGCCGCAUUAGCUAGUUGGUAAGGUAACGGCUUACCAAGGCAACGAUGCAUAGCCGACCUGAGAGGGUGAUCGGCCACACUGGAACUGAGACACGGUCCAGACUCCUACGGGAGGCAGCAGUAGGGAAUCUUCCGCAAUGGGCGAAAGCCUGACGGAGCAACGCCGCGUGAGUGAUGAAGGUCUUCGGAUCGUAAAACUCUGUUAUUAGGGAAGAACAAAUGUGUAAGUAACUAUGCACGUCUUGACGGUACCUAAUCAGAAAGCCACGGCUAACUACGUG
Molecule: ribosomal RNA, 497 nt
Filed under: uncultured bacterium
Lineage: Bacteria
Description: partial 16S ribosomal RNA
Rfam family: Bacterial small subunit ribosomal RNA
Source: RNAcentral